UGCAGUCGAGCGGAAGGCCCUUCGGGGUACUCGAGCGGCGAACGGGUGAGUAACACGUGAGCAACCUGCCCUAGGCUUUGGGAUAACCCUCGGAAACGGGGGCUAAUACCGAAUAUUCACUCAUGGGCGCAUGUUUGUGGGUGGAAAGUUUUUCGGCUUGGGAUGGGCUCGCGGCCUAUCAGCUUGUUGGUGGGGUAAUGGCCUACCAAGGCGACGACGGGUAGCCGGCCUGAGAGGGCGACCGGCCACACUGGGACUGAGACACGGCCCAGACUCCUACGGGAGGCAGCAGUGGGGAAUAUUGCACAAUGGGCGGAAGCCUGAUGCAGCGACGCCGCGUGAGGGAUGACGGCCUUCGGGUUGUAAACCUCUUUCAGCAGGGACGAAGCGCAAGUGACGGUACCUGCAGAAGAAGCGCCGGCCAACUACGUGCCAGCAGCCGCGGUAAGACGUAGGGCGCGAGCGUUGUCCGGAUUUAUUGGGCGUAAAGAGCUCGUAGGCGGCUUGUCGCGUCGACUGUGAAAACCCGUGGCUCAACUGCGGGCCUGCAGUCGAUACGGGCAGGCUAGAGUUCGGUAGGGGAGACUGGAAUUCCUGGUGUAGCGGUGAAAUGCGCAGAUAUCAGGAGGAACACCGGUGGCGAAGGCGGGUCUCUGGGCCGAUACUGACGCUGAGGAGCGAAAGCGUGGGGAGCGAACAGGAUUAGAUACCCUGGUAGUCCACGCUGUAAACGUUGGGCGCUAGGUGUGGGGGGCCUCUCCGGUUCUCUGUGCCGCAGCUAACGCAUUAAGCGCCCCGCCUGGGGAGUACGGCCGCAAGGCUAAAACUCAAAGGAAUUGAC
This 841-nucleotide ribosomal RNA is filed under the name Verrucosispora sp. RNAcentral's name for it is "bacterial SSU rRNA". It matches the Rfam family "Bacterial small subunit ribosomal RNA", at positions 56 to 914 of the family's 1533-position model. Lineage: Bacteria; Bacillati; Actinomycetota; Actinomycetes; Micromonosporales; Micromonosporaceae. The record is from RNAcentral.